UACGUAGGGGGCAAGCGUUGUCCGGAAUCAUUGGGCGUAAAGAGCGUGUAGGCGGCCCGGUAAGUCCGCUGUGAAAGUCCAGGGCUCAACCCUGGGAUGCCGGUGGAUACUGUCGGGCUCGAGUCCGGAAGAGGAGUGUGGAAUUCCUGGUGUAGCGGUGAAAUGCGCAGAUAUCAGGAGGAACACCCAUAGCGAAGGCAGCUCGCUGGGACGGUACUGACGCUAAGGCGCGAAAGCGUGGGGAGCGAACAGG
This 253-nucleotide ribosomal RNA is filed under the name uncultured bacterium. Its description in RNAcentral is "partial 16S ribosomal RNA". It matches the Rfam family "Bacterial small subunit ribosomal RNA", at positions 524 to 776 of the family's 1533-position model. The record is from RNAcentral.